GAUGAGCCCGCGUACCAUUAGCUAGUUGGUGGGGUAAAGGCCUACCAAGGCGACGAUGGUUAGCUGGUCUGAGAGGAUGAUCAGCCACACUGGAACUGGAACACGGUCCAGACUCCUACGGGAGGCAGCAGUGAGGAAUUUUGCGCAAUGGGGGAAACCCUGACGCGGCAACGCCGCGUGAGUGAUGAAGGCUUUCGGGUCGUAAAGCUCUGUCAAGUGGGAAGAAGUUGUGUAUGGCUAAUAUCUGUACACAUUGACGGUACCACUGAAGGAAGCACCGGCUAACUCCGUGCCAGCAGCCGCGGUAAUACGGAGGGUGCAAGCGUUAUUCGGAUUUACUGGGCGUAAAGGGCGCGUAGGCGGCUUGAUAAGUCAGUCGUGAAAGCCCGGGGCUCAACCCCGGAAGUGCGAUUGAAACUAUUUGGCUUGAGUAUGGUAGAGGGAAGUGGAAUUCCUGGUGUAGCAGUGAAAUGCGUAGAUAUCAGGAGGAACACCGGUGGCGAAGGCGACUUCCUGGACCAAUACUGACGCUGAUGCGCGAAGGUGUGGGUAGCAAACAGGAUUAGAUACCCUGGUAGUCCACGCAGUAAA
Molecule: ribosomal RNA, 591 nt
Filed under: uncultured bacterium
Lineage: Bacteria
Description: bacterial SSU rRNA
Rfam family: Bacterial small subunit ribosomal RNA
Source: RNAcentral